UUAGGUUCCGCCCUCCAAGAACGGGCGGCCAAGAGGGAAUCACGUGCAAAUCGUGAGCUGUCGCGCAACUGUAAAUCACCGAACAAAAUCCUGUCGGCGUUAUGCCAUUGGACACUAUCAAUGUCUGAGAAGGUGCCGGAAGGAUGGUGAAAGCCAGGAUACCUGCCUAUUUGU
Molecule: non-coding RNA, 174 nt
Filed under: bovine gut metagenome
Source: RNAcentral